Molecule: non-coding RNA, 787 nt
Organism: Xiphophorus maculatus (southern platyfish)
Lineage: Eukaryota; Metazoa; Chordata; Actinopteri; Cyprinodontiformes; Poeciliidae
Source: the annotation of a RefSeq genome assembly
GGAGCUGAUCUGUUCCUGAUCUCUAAAGAGACUCAAACUUCCUCCUUCAGUUCAAUUCAACUCUCCAACAUUAACUCUGCUCAACAUGGACUAUUAUGGUCUGUCUCUGCUCAUCAUCUCUCUGCUAACAGGUGUUGAGUCUCAACAACUAUCUCCUCUGAUGGCAGAAAACUUCAUUUCAGAGGGCGGCUCCGUUUCUCUGACCUACACAUUUUCUAAAGAAGCAACUGGAAGCGAUGAGUUCUACUGGUAUCGCCAACAUCCAGGAAAACCUCCAGAGUUCCUGCUCUACCACCUAGGAUCAGGAAAAAUACUGUCGGAGCAAACUGCUGGACGGGAGAUCGAUGUGAAGGGAAGAGACAUAAAGCUGCUGAUCUCCUCUGCUGCAGUGACAGACUCUGCUGUGUACUACUGCGCUGUGAGGCCCACAGUGACAGGAAACACCAGAACCCUGUACAAAAACCUGCAGUACUCCACAGCAGCCACUAGAGGGCCUCACUCCCUGCUCUUCAACGGUUUGUCAAGAUUCAGACUGAUGUGAUCAAACCUGAACAAGAAAUACAAGUAAUAAAAAACUAGUAACAGGGACGGUGGGUUAAACCUACUGCUGCUCUGUGGCGCUCAGAGAACAGGAAGAACCCAGAACAGUUAAAUAAUUGUGAUUAAUUCACAAACAUCCUGAAGCCCCAACCAGAUUUUUUAAACUAAUUUGACAGCGCUAAUUAUUAAUGUUGCUGGGUUUUUUUUGUAUUAAUAUUUGUUUGGUCGUUUUUACUCUGGACAUUUA